Ricinus communis (castor bean) is the source of this 2024-nucleotide RNA transcript. RefSeq lists it as uncharacterized. The record is from RefSeq and is a predicted model, not a curated record. NCBI's taxonomy places the organism in Eukaryota, Viridiplantae, Streptophyta, Magnoliopsida, Malpighiales, Euphorbiaceae. The transcript has 2 exons.
GAUUCCAAUUGUACAAAAACCUAUCUCGAAGGACCCCAACAUGAAAGAAUCUGAAUCUUCUACAGUGGCAGCCAAAAGAAACUCUUAUAACUAGCUAGUAGAACUAUCCACUUAUCCUCUUUCCUCUAUCUCCCUUCAUCAACAAUAUGGAAAGUUCUCCAUUUUUCAUCACCAUCAGCCUCUCUCUCAUUCUAUCAAUACUUCAUCUAAUUUUUGCCCUAGACCUACCAUGCCGGACCACUUGUGGCUCCCUACAAGUUAAGUACCCUUUCGGCACCGCCUACGGCUGUGGCUCUCCACGGUUCUAUCCUUACAUAACGUGUGCUUCCGGCGGUGAUCAGCUCCUCCUCACCACCCACACGGGCUCUUACCCUAUCACCUCCAUAUCCUACACAGCUACCACCAUAACCAUCAGUCCUCCUUCCAUGUCUACAUGCACUUCCAUGCAUCAAUCACCCAACUUGGGCCUCGAUUGGGCCAGCCCAUUUCAACUUGGCCCAUCAACUUUCCUCCUCCUCUCAUGUCCACCACCAACCUCCUCCCUCACCAUGAAAGGAUCACCUGUCUGUGACGCUUCUUCUUCUUACCUUUGCGCCUCAAUUUACACGUGUCCGUCGGUAAUCGGACUCGGGUUGCCGCUCUUUCCGCCAACGAAUACUUGUUGUGUGUAUGCUCCUGCCAACUUUAACGGUAAAAGUGAACUCGAUCUUCAUAUGCUAAAAUGUUCAGGGUAUGCUUCAAUAAUAUCUCUUCAGGAUUAUCCAACCGACCCUACCCGGUGGGAGUAUGGUGUGGUGCUGAACUAUAGAAGUGGAGCUUUUGAUGAUUUUUACAUGGAUACCAAGUGCAAUACUUGUGAGAGUAGUGGAGGUGUAUGUGGUUAUGCUGCUCCUGGUUACUCAUUUCUAUGUUUGUGCAAUAGUGGAAUCAACACCACUACGGAUUGCAACGCCUACAGCCAAGAUGUGGUGUUUCCUUCGAGCUCUGUUUCUACAUCAUCAUGUAAGUUUCCUCCUCACUUCUGUUGUUCAAAUCGCAUAUUAUUAACCUUAAUUGGUAAGUUUUGUUCCUGGAGAAUAAUCUGAGUGUAAACACACUAUCAACAAAUGACGCCAGGAUGGCCUUUCAAGAAAGUUUAUUUUCUUUCUGUUUUUCUGUUCAAUGGAAACAAAAAAAAUUUAAUAAGAUUGUAGUGUGUUGAUGGAUGGAUAGGCACCCUAUUCUUAUAUGCGGUUUUGCAUCAUUAUGCACUUUUAUUAUUUAUAAAAGAGCUUCUUUUUCCUUUUCUUCUUUUAUCAUUUUAUAGGAUAGGAAAAUGCAAUUGUAAUUUCUCCAUUUGGGUACAAAGGAUCAAUUCUUUUCCUUUUUUUUAUGAGAAAAGAAUAAAUUUGCUAAAGUUAAAGUUGUAAAGAAAAAGGAGAAAGAUAAAGAUACAAGUAAAGCUAAAAGUCGCAAAACAAAAAGAAAAAUGAAAAUACAAGUAAAGCUAAAUUUGAUGUAACUCUUGGUUGAUUAUUAGUCGAUUGCCUGGGAUUUCUGCAGAUUAAUUUAUAAAACAACAAUGAGCUUUACUUAUUUCAAUAUUCUUACAAUACGUAUUUGAUACUCAUAAACAAUUAGUCUAAAAAUAAUUUUACACUUAUUUAUCUUUGAUCGGUUCCUUUAUUUCGGGAAGAUGUGGUUGGGGAUUUUGGCCGGUCUAGUUUCCGUUGGAGCAGCUUGAUGUAUGUAGAGAUUUUUCCCUUUUGUAUUUGUUUGAAGGCUUGUGUUUUCCCCUCUGGUAUGGGUAAUCUCCUUUUCUAGUAAAAUACAUUUUUCUUUGUUAGAAAAAGAUCGAAAUAGGAUUAAAAGUUAGGCUCCGUUUGUCGAACUUGAAAUAACAAACAGUAGCAGAAUAUAGGAACGAGCAUCUUAGGCCUGUAUAAGAACAUUAUAGCUAUCCCAACAACUAACAGAUCAACAAGGUGCAGAACCUUAGUUUUUAAAUUAAAGAUAAUGACUCAGGCUUCUGGAUUUUCUCUUUA